UCACUCCCAUCCUCGCAAUAUGCACUCUC
RNAcentral lists this small RNA (29 nucleotides) under Bombyx mori (domestic silkworm). RNAcentral's name for it is "ovarian small RNA-25400". Lineage: Eukaryota; Metazoa; Arthropoda; Insecta; Lepidoptera; Bombycidae. The record is from RNAcentral.